GCCAGUGUGGCAUAGUGGUUUGAGUGUUGGACUACGACUGUGGAGAUUAGGGUUCAAAUCCCCACUCGGUCA
Non-coding RNA from Phrynosoma platyrhinos (Desert horned lizard), 72 nucleotides. The record is from the annotation of a GenBank genome assembly. NCBI's taxonomy places the organism in Eukaryota, Metazoa, Chordata, Lepidosauria, Squamata, Phrynosomatidae.